This 253-nucleotide ribosomal RNA is filed under the name uncultured bacterium. RNAcentral describes it as "partial 16S ribosomal RNA". It matches the Rfam family "Bacterial small subunit ribosomal RNA", at positions 524 to 776 of the family's 1533-position model. The record is from RNAcentral.
GACAGAGGGUGCGAGCGUUAAUCGGAAUUACUGGGCGUAAAGCGUACGUAGGUGGUUGAGUCAGUCGGAUGUGAAAGCCCAAGGCUUAACCUUGGAAUUGCAUUCGAUACUGCUCGGCUAGAGUAUAGUAGAGGGAAGCGGAAUUUCUAGUGUAGCGGUGAAAUGCGUAGAUAUUAGAAAGAACACCAGUGGCGAAGGCGGCUUCCUGGACUAAUACUGACACUGAGGUACGAAAGCGUGGGGAGCAAACAGG